RNAcentral lists this long non-coding RNA (8350 nucleotides) under Prunus persica (peach). RNAcentral describes it as "long non-coding RNA (PPER_LNC008447)". Lineage: Eukaryota; Viridiplantae; Streptophyta; Magnoliopsida; Rosales; Rosaceae. The record is from RNAcentral.
UCGGGUUGGAAUUCACCUGGGUUGGCCCACAUGCGUGGGUCCCGCUGUAGUUUCCAAAUGUUGACUAGUACACGAGUGCCCUUGGGCACGUGGUAGCCUGCCAGGUGGCAAUCCUCUGUUGCCUCACGCAGGCCUGUGAGUGGGCCAGGUGGGUAUACGCGUAGGGUUUCUUUGAGAAUGGCUUGGAGGUAUUUGAGGUUAGGGAGGUCUGAUUCUUGUACCCAUCUGUCUCUUCCUACUUGUAUGUCCAGUUCUUGUUGGGCAGCUUUUAGGGUUUUCGGGUUGUUCAGUAGUAGGGAGAGUGCCCAUGUUAGAGUGACGGAUGUGCUUUCUGUGCCAGUUAGGAUUAGAACCUGCCAAAAGCAAUUAAGGAAAACAAUUAAUAUUUGUAUAAUAAUUAAUAUUGUUGCUGAAUAGCUUUAUAUUGUUACACUAAAUUAACCUUACCAGUGCUGUUGAUUUGAUGACAUUAUCAAGGCUAUGGCCAGAAAUCACAUCGUCCUCCUCUUGCAAGCUGGAGAUCAUCACAUCCAUCAAGUCACUUUCAACCCUAUCUAUCUUGCCUUGAGGCCUUGAUCUCUGGCGAUGUUCUUCAAGCCAUUUCCCAAGCACACAGUCAAGUUCCUUGAAACACCUUUUCAUGGAACCCACAUGCCCAAACAAGCUGUCCAGCCACUCAAGCCACGGCAUAGCAUCUGACCAAACAAAAACGCCAAACAGAUACAAAGCCUCCUUCACAGCCUUUUCAAAACGCCAAGCCUCACUGUUUUUCUCAUUAUAUUGCUCAGCUGUGAAUCUCUUCCCAGCAAUCAGCCUCACGUUUAUGUUGAACGUUAAGAACUCAAUUAACUCACUUAAAUGCACUGGCGUGGGGCUCGCGCCAUUCUUCGUGCAAAGUGAGAGCAGAUUUUUGAUGAACAAGUCAACCUUCGAGGUCCUAACGUGGCUUAGCAUUUCGACUCUUUUGGUCGAGAGGAGCUCCAGCGUGGCCAGCUUGCGGACGUGGCGCCAGUAGGGCCCGUAGGGGGCUAGGGCAAAAAGUGCAUUGUCGUAGCCCAAGUGCUUGCCUCCUGCAAUGCUUGCUCGUGUGGCAAAAACUCUAUCGUUUGUUGUGAGACAUUCUUUGACUGUCUCCCAGGCGCUGAGGACCAGCACUUGGUGUUGGCCAAGCUUGAGGGAGAAGAUUGGUCCAUGGUCAUCUGCCAUGGCUCCCAAGGUUAUGGCAACUGGGUCUUUGCUACGUAACAGAGGGAGGUGGCCUAUGAAGGGCCAUGCUCCAGAGGGUUGGGGGACUAAUUUGGUCGUCACAGUCGUCUUUGUGCUGGUGAUCUUCUUCUUAGUGUGAGCUGUGAUUCUCAAGGCAGCAUAUAGAAUAAGCAAAGAUAAAAUUGUUUCAAGAAUUUGGAUUGGGGAAAUUGUAAAAUCCAUGGUGUUGGGGAGAGAGAGAGAGAGAGAGAGAGAGUGUUACAGAUGGGAAUAUGAUUGCGUGUAGGAUAUAGUUCAUUUUGCAAGUGUAUUUAUAGACACAGAUACGUCUCUUUCAAAAACAAAUAAACAAACGCAUUGAGAUACACAAUGGAUGCUCACCACAUCUCAAAUAUAUAGGAUAAUUAGAUAUUUAAUUUUUUUUCUCUUUCCAACAUCUCUGGUUUUCAUUCACUAGAGUGUCGGUUGGAGUUCGAUACUUAAAAAAUAUAUAUAUAUAUAUAUAUAUACUCUACUUAUAAGACAGUAAUGUUUACAAUUUUGAUGCAACAGUGCCGCUGCUAUAAAUCAUAGGACAAACUUACUUGGGCCCAUACCUUCAUAUCUAUGUCUACCAAAUUAAAUGAUUACCCGCUUGCAAACUUUUUCAAACAAAUAAAGUAAAAAUUGAAGGUGAUUCUAAGAGCAUCUCCACCUCAAAAGGCUAAGGUAAGGAUAAGAGCAAAGCAAGGGCAAUAGUGGCAGCUUUGUAAUUUGUGGUUCCACCUCAAAGGGCUAAGGCUAAGGCAAUUACUAUUCAUUGUACUUUAUUUUCUAUUUUUUUAUACUUUCAACUAUUAAUUUUGAUAAUUUUUUGUAAUUAAAUUUCCGGAUAAGAUUUUUAGUUGCCACGUGUCCAUCAUUUUUCAGAAAAGAUUUUCGAAUGAGACUCUCAGUUGCCACGUGUCUUAUUCCAAACAAACUUUUUGGAUAUUCAUUAAAAAAAAAUUAUAAUCUCAGAUUUCAAAUAAGAUUUUCACCCUCUAAAAUUGUGCCACGUGUCCCAUGUCAAAUAAGAUUUUCAGAUAUUUUAAAAAAAAAUUAUAAUCUAAUAUUUUAGAUAAGAUUUUCACCCUCUAAAAUUGUGUCACGUGUCCCAUGUCAGAUAAGAUUUUCAGAUAUUUUAAAAAAAUUAUAAUCUCAUAUUUCAGAUCAGAUUUUCACCCUCUAAAAUUGUGCCACGUGUCAUCUCUAUCUUCUGAAUCCCUCUAUAAAACUACACCAUUAACUUAUACCUCUCACACCAUUUCUUAUCUAUUCAUUCAUUUCUCAGAUUUUACAAAACACAUUCUACUCUUAAUGUCAAACUUGAGGAGGUUGUUGGAGAGGCAACAGAAAGAAGAGGAACAAAUCUGGCGUAGAUGUGCUGAUAAAGAUGAGGAGGCCGAUAAAGAAGAGGAAGACAUGCUUGCAGCAGCGGUGUGUAUGCUUAAUCAAUCAAGGCAACACCGCCGUAGUCGUGCCCCAAAUGUGGACAGACGUAGGGAGUCUCGAGGUAAAAAUCUCUUGGAAGAUUACUUUAUCCCAAAUUCGUUAUAUCAUGUUCAUAAGUUUCGAGAGAGAUAUAAAAUGCAGCCACAUUUGUUCCGAAAAAUCAUGCAUGAUAUUUGUAAUUACGACACAUACUUCAUUCAAAAAUAUGAUACUGUUGGAGUUUUCGGUAUUCUCCCGGAGCAAAAACUUACAGCUACUUUGCAGAUGCUUGCUUAUGGGGCAUCUGCAAAGCAGGUGGAUGAGAUUGCAAGGAUGGGAAAAUCAACUAUCCUAGAGUGCUUGGUGAGAUUCUAUGAUGCAGUGGAAAAUUUGUACACAAGGGAGUACCUUCACAAACCCACGCCAAGGGACCUGCAAAGGCUUCUACAAAAAGCUGAGGCUCGAGGUUUCCCAAGAAUGAUUGGAAGCAUCGAUUGCAUGCACUGGCAGUGGAAGAAUUGUCCUACUACUUGGCAAGGAGACUAUGGGAAUCGGAAGGGCAAAAAAAGUAUAAUUUUGGAGGCCGUAGCUUUAUUCGACUGUUGGGUUUGGCAUGCCUUCUUCGGAAUUGCCGGAUCUUAGAAUGACCUCAAUAUCCUUGGUCAAUCCCCGGUACUCGACGAGGUAUUGUGAGGUCAUGACCCCCAGAUCACCUACCAAGUCAACAAUACCGUAUACUCUGGUACGUACUACUUUGCCGACGGAAUUUAUCCUAGGUGGACAACAUUUGUGAAAACAAUUCCAAAUCCCCAAUCCGAGAAAGAAAAAAGCUUUGCUGCCUUUCAAGAAGGUUACAUGAAAGACGUGGAAAGGUGUUUCGGUAUAUUGCAAGCUCGUUAGGCAAUUAUUAGGGGUGCUGCUUGGAUGCUAGAUGAGGAGGUGCUGCAGAGCAUUAUGCUGACUUGCAUCAUCCUCCACAACAUGAUUGUGGAGGAUGAGUUUGAUUAUGAUGCUUCAGAUGUGUUUGAACCCGAUCCCAUGAACACGGCGUUGACAAGAAUGUAUGAAAGGCCAAUGAGACCAAAUGGACAACCAAUGGAGCCCAAACCGUUACUUCGGGAUGGUCGAUACAACAACCCAAUGAUUGAUUGUUAUCAAGAAAUGCAAUCUUAUAUGUUCACGAGAGACAUCAACUUGACUUGAUCGAGCACUUGUGGGAGAUGAAAGGCAAUCACAGUGGAUGAAGUCAAGAUACAAGCUUUGUUUGGAAUUAUGCUUUAUUUUGUGUGUGGUGUUUUUUGGAAUUAUGCUUUUUUUAUUAUUAUUAUGCUUUUAAGUAUGGUUUGUUUUGUGUGUUGUUUGCAAUAAAUUAAGGUUUGUUUUUAAUUAAUCUUUGUUUUGAUGCUCAAAUGUUUUUAAUAAAUUGUCAUAUUAUUUAAUGCUUUCUUUAUUGAAUAAAAAGGAAACAAUACAACAAAUUAAUACAUAUGGCAAAGGUGUUUCAAUACAACUUAAUGGUUUUCAUCAUUUAACCAAUCCGUAUUGCUAGGUCCAUCGUCAUGGAAAAGUUUUCUUCUCAUCACAUCCCUUCGUCUUAGCUUCCAAUAGGCCUUUGUUUCAGAAGACAUAUGGCUUGUAUCCAUGGCCAUGAUUUUCAUCUCUCUAUCAUCCAUGUCUUUUUCUUUUGCCUGCUGCUGUUGAAUGCAAAUGCUUCCUGUCGUGCCUUGUUCGCUUCAUCUCUUUUUAAGUCUCUCUCAAUUCUUAGUGCAGUGUUCUUAGCUAUUUGCUCCAAUAAUUGUACACAUUCAUUGUUCGAAGUGCUCCCUCUCUUGGCCUUCGCCGCCUUUCUCCCAAUAGGUCUCGACGGAUGUGGAAGUGGUGACUCCGUUUCCAUUGGGAGUCCAAUGGCGAAUCGGUUGUUGACGAAUCGUGGAGCGGCGUCUCAUUUAAUACAACCGGUAGACCUGUGGGAAUAAUGUUGAAUCUCGAAAAAUCCUUCACAACUUCCCAACAUUGGAAAUGCAAGAAACUUUUUUUUCUUUGCCCCAUGGCACCGAACCAAAGUUGUGCUUGUAUGAUCUAUUAAAAAUAAAUAAUUGGAAGUGUAAGAAAAAAAUAUAUAUUAUGCAAGAAAAUAUAAACUAUUUUGAAAUGCAUGAAUAAAAUUGAUUAUGCAAGAAAAUAUAGACAAAUUGGAAAUGCAAAAAGAAAAAAAAAAGAUUAUGCAAGAAAAAGAAAUAUAAUAUGCAAUAAAAAAAAAGCUACAUGAAAUUGAUUUAAAUGGCAAUUAUAAAUAUUUUACCUUAUCGGAUAGAUUUUGACCGCUUCGAAUGUUCUCCCUUGCUUUUGUCAAGGCAUUUCUCCAUUUCCCUAACUCUUUAUUCAGAAUUUUCCAUCUACUAGACAAGGUCAUUUCGGUUCGAAUAGAACCCGAUCUUUGACAAAAUUCUCCCUGAAUUUUGCUCCACAUAUGAGGCAACUUCAUCUCAUUGCCCGAGACAGGGCAAUGACUAACGAUCACCCAAGACUGACACAACGCAAUAUGUUCAUGAGUUGUUCACGCACCUCCAGCUUCGACAGAAGAUGGCAUUUGUUUUUUGAUACAAAUGGAAAGUAGUAGAAAAAUGUGAGUGGAGAGUAAAAAAGAUUGGAAUGAGAAGAGUUUAGAUGAAGAAUUGGUGUGGAAAGUGAAUAAUGUGAGUGGAGAGUAAAAAAUAUUGGAAGGAGAAGAAAUUGUAUGAAGAUUUGGUGUGGAGAGUGAAUAAAAUUGUUAGGUAUUUUUAAGGAAAAAAAUCCAGAAUUUUUGGUUUUUUUUUAAAAAAAAAAUUCAGAAUUUUUUAGCCAAAAAAAGGAGGACCGUCGGAUUUCUAGAAAAAAACUGAUCGGAGAGUCUGGGUUGCGACACGUGGCGCAUGCCCGUUGGAUUCUGUUAGCUCUGACGUCACCUCCCUUGGGCUGAAGCCUAGGCGAAACCUGCCCUUGGGCUUGCCCGAGCCUCUUUUCUCGCGCUGGAGCAGUCUUGGGCUUGCUCGGGGGGCCUCCUGCCGGGUUUGCGUGCAGCACUGGAGCUGCUCUAAGUCAAGUCACCCAUUCAAACUCUACAUCGUCAAGUUUCCAUUACCUGGCCGCUAAUCAAUUAUCCAAUACAUCAAUUGGCUUCUUUGAUAUUUUUUUUGGUUGUGAAAGUUAGGAAGGGGGUGGAAAACUUAUACACAGGUAUUAUGGGGGCUUGAAUUUAGGAUCACUUGGAAGCAUAUCAAGAGCAUAGGCCAAUCCAGCUAACACCCCAUUGAUCUUCUUUAAGACUUUCAAGCAGUUAAAAUUGCACAUAACUUCCCGGAAAUAAAUAUGGUUUUAGAUUUUUUAAGCAAAUUUAGGGUGUAAUCUUCCUAAUAUAUGUCUUUGUCCACGAAUUUAAUGGGGCUCAGUUCUAUUAGAAAGAUCGUCCUAAAAAUGUAAUAAGCGUAGUAUUUUCCUUUAAGAUGUCAUCCUAAUAAUGAUUUCCAACUUUCCAUAAUGAAAUGAAUGCCACUCGUGAAUAUUCAAAUACUCGUUAUUGGCGAUUUUCACACCUCAUAACCCUAACAAAGCCUUCCAUUCCACUGACAGGUGACACAGGUCAUAUAUCAUUCAACAACCAUUACGUACCCAAUUAAUAUUUGACUUCUAAAUUCCUAAUACAUAUCUGGAUGGCUAUGAAUUAAUGGUCGUACCCUUUAGAAUUCAAAGGUUAAACUUGUGGUGUGGAAGAAAACACACAUCAAACACAGAACAAACGUUGUUCGAUCGACCAUGAUUCUUUGUCCUGGGGUGAAAGAUAUUCUACAAAGUUGCCUUCGAUGUAAAGCCUGGUUGAAAAGUAUCAGGCCCUAUGAACAUAUGGACGAGAUUUCGUUGCCAGAUGAUACUUUGAGCAGUUUGUAGAGCAGAGCUUAUUUAGGCCAUUGGGUGGGGACCUUGGUCGAAAACGUUUUCCACGUAUCGAUGGCUUUAGUUUAUGUUAUAACACAUGAAUAAUAAUGUUAAAUUUGUAUACCAAUCAAACUUUGCCGAGGGGUGUAUUUCAGUAAACAAAAGUGUAUUGAUUUGUAGACUAACGAUAUCAAAUUUGAACUCAUUUUUUCGGUAGUUUAAACUAUCAUUUGUAUUUUAUUGUAAGAAAUAAGUUUUAUUAAGAAUCACAAAAGAGAGAGCAAAACAAAAUUGAGGCCACCACAAGAAAACCAAAGGCCGAGCCAUGCUAAAAACCCACUACAUAGAUAAAGUUCACUACAAACAUAAAGCCCACCAAAAAAAAUUUCAUAACUUAUCAACUGUUUGUGCGGGUGUGGAUAAAAUAAGGGAUAGUCUGAAUUGGGUUCAUAUAUUUGUUUCUUGGAAAAAUUGUAGCAAUGGUCUCUUAAAUAAGACCCCAUUUUACUUUUCGUUUCUCAACCCUAAAAAUUAUUAUGAUUAUCCUUCAAUUAGAUCUAUUGUUGCAUCAGUCGUCCUUUUCAUCAGUUCUAAUUGUUUUUCCGUCAAAAAUAAAGGUAAAUUAGAAAAUUCAUAUCAACUUUUAUUAGAUAAAUAAACUCAUUUAUCUAUAUAUAUAAAGCAAAAUGCAGAGAGUGGUAAAAUAUUCAAAAUAUCAGAAAAUACCAUUGGUUAAUGCAAAUAUUAAGAAUUGAAAUUAUUAAUUAAAUGAGGAUAAUAUGGUAAAUUUCCAUCUUUUCAUAUUAAAAAAAUUAAAAGAAAAAGAAAAAUCACAUAAUAGAUCUUAUUUUUAUGGAAUACAUCUACCCAUUAUCUCUUUUAAUUCUAAAAUACAUUUAAACUUUUAAAAAAAAAAAAAAAAAAAAAAAAAGCCUUUCGUAGGUGCAGAAGAGCGUGCGAAAAGACUAGUAAACUUAAAUUCCGAGUGUAGGAUACGUACAAGAAGCCAUUUACAAGAUUAACGUUGUCCUAUCUUUAGCUCCUUACUUAAAAUUCAUAAUGUUACAUAUUGGGCACAAGUGAAUUUAUUAUAUAAAAGUGAACUAUAAUAUUUCCUGCCAACGUUUGAAGCUGCCAACUUCUUCAAAGACAUUAUUUAUAGAGGUGAAGAGGAAGGCGUGGGGAUAGCAAAGCCUCCAGCGGAUUUGCUUUGGGCAGGGCAAGCCCCAGCCCUUCACGCAUGUCCACUGCCUCCUCACCAACCCUACUCAUAUCAAAACCCUGAACCAAACGAGCCAGAAUUAAUUGGACCACUUGCAGCCCCAAAACCAUGCCAGGGCACGACCUCCUGCCUGAGCUGAACGGAAUAUACUCAAAAUUAUUUUGACCUUUGAAUUCCACGUCAGCAUGGGUGGUCAUGAACCUCUCGGGUUGGAAUUCACUUGGGUUGGCCCACAUGCGUGGGUCCCGCUGUAGUUUCCAAAUGUUGACUAGUACACGAGUGCCCUUGGACACGUGGUAGCCUGCCAGGUGGCAAUCCUCCGUGGCUUCACGCAGGCCUGUGAGUGGGCCAGGUGGGUAUACGCGUAGGGUUUCUUUGAGAAUGGCUUGGAGGUAUUUGAGGUUAGGGAGGUCUGAUUCUUGUACCCAUCUGUCUCUUCCUACGUGUAUGUCCAGUUCUUGUUGGGCAGCUUUUAGGGUUUUUGGGUUGUUCAGUAGUAGGGAGAGUGCCCAUGUCAGAGUGACGGAUGUGCUUUCUGUGCCAGUUAGGAUUAGAACC